This is an RNA transcript of Erinaceus europaeus (western European hedgehog), 6403 nucleotides long. It is a transcript of the gene named sushi domain containing 1, with no coding region annotated. NCBI's taxonomy places the organism in Eukaryota, Metazoa, Chordata, Mammalia, Eulipotyphla, Erinaceidae. The transcript has 16 exons. The record is from RefSeq and is a predicted model, not a curated record.
CCUGGCGCGCGGCUGGUGCAAGAACUACCAAAGGAGCGGGGGUGUGUCGGGGGGGUGGGGGAGAGAGCAGGCCCGCCCCUCCACCUCCCCCGGUCCCCGCGGCACCCUCUGAGCUCCGGCGGGGCGCCGGAAGCUGCCCGGCUGCCCCCUUCCCGAGGCGCCCGCCGCCUUAUCUCGCGCUUGGGCCCGCUGGGGGACUGUGUGCGCGCCGGGAGGGAGAGGCAGCGCGAGGGCGGCGGCGGCAUGGGCCCGGGCGCCCCAGGAGGGGGCCGCCCGCCUCGCCGUCUGCUGCUGCUCCUGCUGUGGCUCGGCCUGGCUUUUGGCGCCGACGGAGCGCCGGGCGCAGACGGGUUAGAUAUCUGUGCCACUUGCCAUGAACAUGCAACCUGUAAGCAAGAAGGAGGGAAGAAGAUGUGUAUUUGCAACUAUGGAUUUGUUGGCAAUGGGAGGACCCAGUGUAUUGAUAAAAAUGAAUGCCAGCUUGGAGCCACUGUGGUCUGUGGGAACCACACAUCUUGCCACAACACACUUGGAGGCUUUUAUUGUAUUUGCCUGGAAGGAUAUCAAGCCACAAACAACAAUAAGACAUUCAUUCCCAAUGAUGGCACCUUCUGUACAGGUAUCCUGAAGGGACUGCAGGACAUAGAUGAGUGUGAGAUUCCUGGCCUUUGUGGGCAUGGAGGACAGUGUGUGAACAUACAAGGAGGCUUUGAAUGCUACUGUCUGGAUGGAUUUGUGCCACACAAUGGACCUGAGCCUUUCCACCCAGCCAGUGAUGCCACAUCAUGCAAUGAAAUAGACUGUGGCACCCCUCCUCAGGUCCCAGCUGGUUAUAUCAUAGGAAAUUAUACCUCUAGACUUGGUAGCCAAGUUCAUUAUGCUUGCAGAGAAGGAUUUGUCAGUGUCCCAGAAGUUAUGGUUUCAAGCUGCACAGCCUUGGGCACAUGGGAGUCUCCAAAAUUAAAUUGCCAAGAAAUCAACUGUGGCCAACCUCCAGAAGUGCAAGAUGCAUUCCUGGUGGGGAAUUAUAGCUCCAGACUGGGCAGUGUGGCUCACUAUGUCUGUCAAGAAGGCUUUGAGAGUCGUGGAGGAAAGAUCACUUCUGUUUGCACAGAGAAUGGCUUCUGGGAAAAAAAUACACUGACAUGCACAGAAACAAUUACAGAAAUUAAAAAUGUAUCAGUGUUUAAUAAUACUUGCAUGAGAUGGCAAAUACACCCUGGAAGAAUAAAGUUCAAAAUCAUAUAUAUGAUACACAUAAAAGGACAACGAUUGGACCCUGCAGAAUCAGUUCCCAAGGAGACAAUCUACUUGACCACAGAGAGCAGAACCCCAGAAGUGUGCCUAGAUCUGUACCCAAGCACCAACUACACCGUGAACAUUUCCACUGUUUCUCCCAGACGUUCCAUGCCAGCCAUCAUUACAUUCCAAACAGCUGUAAGACAGAUCAUCAGUAACAUUUCAAUAUUUAAUGAAACCUGCUUGAGAUGGAGAAGUAUGAAGACAGCUGAUACAGAAGAGGUGUAUUUAUUUCACAUUUGGGGCCAGAGAUGGUAUCAGCAAGAAUUUGCCCAGGAAAUUAUCUUUAAUAUCACUGCCAGCAGCCAGACUCCUGAGAUGUGCUUGGACCUGCAUCCAGGGACCAACUACAGUAUCAGCAUCCAGGCUUUGUCUUCUGAACUUCCUGUGGUCAUCUCCCUUACAACCCACAUAGCAGAGCCUCUUCUUCCAGAAGUAGAUUUUUUCACAGGGCAAGGAUGGACUCUACCACACUUGAGACUGAGGAAAGCCAAGGAGGAAAAUGGACCUAUCAGCUCUUAUCAAGUAUUAGUGCUUCCCAUGACCCUACAAAGCACAUUUUCUUGUGAUUCUGAAGGGGCUGCUUCAUUUUUUAGCAACACUUCUGAUACUGAAGGAUAUAUAGCUGCAGAACUACUGAACAAAGAUGUUGCAGAUGAUGCCAUGGAGAUUUCCAUUGGAGAUAGGCUGUACUAUGGGAAAUACUAUAAUGCACCCUUGAAGAUAGACAAUGAUUACAAUAUUAUAUUACGGAUCACAAGUGAAUGGAAUAAGGAGAGAAGAUACUUCUGUGUAGUUUGGGCUCAGGUGAAAGCUGCUGACAACUGCCGUGCUAGUCUCUACUUCUAUGAGUUCAGCUGUUUAAGAUUACACAUAUAAAUAAGAUUCAUCACUCAUGCUUCAACAGAUGGCAGGUGUUGGGCUGGGCUCCGUGGCUGUUGUGAUUGUUCUCGCAUUCUUCUCCUUCUUAGCAGUGUGAUAGGAGCUGCAUGAGGAAUUGAACUACUGUUGGGGCUCAUACUGUGGCAGUUUCUCUGGUGCCUAUAUAGAUGUCACAUGUCACUUCCAUAUAGUUGUAUGUAUGGACCUACAACUGUCUCCAUUCACUGUUUGGCCUCAUUCCUGUAUUCACGAUGGUGACUGACUCUACAGGAUCCCCAUGUGGAGAAAACUCAGGAACUGACAAUGUCUUCACUGCUACAGGACCAGCUAUAUCUAUGAACUUUAGACCCUUGAUGCACUGUGUAAUAUUAACCACAAGUUGAAGGUCACAUGGGCUGGACCUAUAUCUUGCACUGAAUGAUGCCUGAGAGUCCCUGUUGAUGCUGAAAGCAAGUCUCUGCAUUUUCCUCUAUAGCACCUCUGUUAACCAACUCAGAAUCCAUUCUUUUAAAAGAUGUAGUGAGAUGGCCUUCACUUUGGGUUAGAAUUUGACUUGAUGAAGGAGACUGUUGAAACACUUGUUAUAUAGACAAGUAUAUAAAAUACUUUAGGAGAGUGGUUCGGGAGGUGGUGCAGUGGAUGAAGCAUUGGACUCUCAAGCAUGAGGUCCUGGGUUCAGUCCUUGGCAGCACAUGUACCAGAAUGAUACCAGGUUUUUUCUCUCUUUCCUCCUUUCUUAUUAAUAAAUAAAAAAAAAAUACUUUGGAAGAGAGACCAGACAGUAGUGCACCUUGUAAAAGUGCACACAUCGCCAUGCCUGAGGACCUGGGUUCAAAUUUGCAGUGUCACAAACAUUGGAGCAGUGCUACAGGUGUCUCAUUAGCUCACCGUUCUUUCUUCCUCUCUUCUUCUCUCUGUCUUUAUCUAAUAGAAUAAAAAAAUAAAAGCAAAAAAAAAAAAAAAAAAAGGCCACUGGAAAUGGCAAACUCAUUGUGCAGGCACUGAGUCCCAGAAAUGACCCUGGUGGCAAAGAAGUAAGAAUGAAAAGAAUGAAAAGAAAGAAAGAAAGAAAGAAAGAAAGAAAGAAAGAAAGAAAGAGAGAGAGAAAGAAGGAAAGAAAGAAAGAAAGAAAGAGGAGAGAAAGGAAGGAAGAAAUAAAGUGCUUCAGAACUAGAUCUUCUACAACUAAUUGACAUACCAACUGGAAUGCUUAUUAGCCUGUCCACUCUAAUAAGUUCACUGUAAUGCUUAUUAGCCAGUAUUGCUUUGAUAAAGUGUCUUGUGUCUUAAUAUGUUUUCAGAAACCUUAAGUCUUUAUGCCAAUAUUUAUUUUGUAAUUUAAACUGCUUUCUUCUGCUACAUGAAUAUUUAUAGGAGACUUGGUUAAUUUUUUAAUUACUAUUGCUAAUAGGGGCUCCCCACCUGCAUGACUCCUGGAAAACCUUUCUUUCAGUUUGAUAUAGACAGAAAGGAACAGACCAGGAGAGAGCGAGAGAGAGAGAGAGGAGAGACAUCACAGCACUACUUCACUGUUUGUGGAGCUCCUUCUUGGUGCUAUGUGUGGUGCUAGGGGCUUAAACCUGGAUCCUUGAACAUGGUUAAAUGUGUACUCUACCUGGUAAGUUAUCUAUUGGUCCUGAUUAUUUUCUUUUUACUUUUUGCCAUCAAGAUUAUUGCUGGCACUUGGUACCUACACAGCUCGAUGUUUCCCAGCAGCUAUUUUUUUUGCUUUUGCUUUUGCUUUUGCUUGAGGGUGAGAAACAGAGAAGGAGAGGGAAGCAGAGAAAAAGAGAGACAGACACCUGAAGCACUACUUCACUGCUCAUGAGGCAUCCUCCCUGCAGGUGGGGACCAGGGCCUUGAAACUGGGUCCUACCAUAUUGUAACAGUGAUUGGUUAAUUUUAUUUUAUUACUGAGUGUGUCCUAAAAGUGCUCUGUGCUUCCCAUUAGGUUGGGUGGUAAUGUAGUAACAGUGGUUUGGAACAGUAUCAAGCCCAUGACCAGAGUUCAUGUGUGUUUACAGGAGAGUUAGGAACAAUGUGAAUGAUGUGGGAUUCCCUUUUAUCUACAACAUCAGUAACUAUGACUGACUGUAACAUGUACAUGUUAAGCAUUCCUAGGCCUAUGCCUGUAUGCUGGAUUUAUUGAUGGAGUGUAUUAUAUUUAAUUUUUUAAAACCUUGAAUCAGUGUUCUUUAACUUUCCUUCUUGACAACAACUUCAAAGUAAGAAUCCACUGAAGAAGAAAGAUUGUGACUUCUCUAAAUUAGUGUUAUCCUCCUACCUCUUUUCGAUCUCUUUCUAGUCCUGGAUAAUAAGAGUAUGAGGGUGGAAGAGGGGUGGGUGCACUGAACAGCCUCAGUGAGCAUCAUAAAUUAAUACAUCUCUUGAAUUGUGUGAAGUUGCCAUCCUAAAAAAGUCUAUAUGGCAUACCUGAGUAUUCUCCACUAGCUUGCAGGGCGUUGGUGAGUAUAGAUUAGAACAGCUGGACAUUGUGGGUAGAUAAGGAGACAAAAAUAGCAAUAGAAACAGGUGAAAACCCUCCAUGAACCUGCUUCACCCUGAGGGAUCUUACCAACAGUGUAUCCACUCAACUGGAAGAAUCAGAAAUUGGGCAAUAUAUUCUAACAAUUGGGUACUGAGUGUUUUAGGCAGCUUAGAGCCAUUAUAAUUCCCUCUAAACUACCACCUCAGGAAAGGCCACAAUAUAGGAUCAACAUCUAGAACAGUUCUUUCUCUCAGGUGAGCUAUAGAGUUCUCAAUAGGUUACUACAUAUAGAUUUCUACUUUUAAUUUUCAUGAACAAUUCACAUUGAUCCUUUUUCAAGUUCUUUUACUGUAGUUGAAACAUAGGUUAGGAUAUCCAGUGAGUAAGGAUUUUCCACUGUCUGAAAAGAGAAUCUAAGCCUCCAUCCUUAGUUAUUACUGGUUGGUAAAUACCACUGGUGUUUAUCCAUUACACUUCUGAUUUACAGCUCUAAAAUUAACUGUAGGUAGAAGUUACAGUUGUGGGAGCUGGGCCGUAGCACAGUGGGUCAAGUGCACUUGCUGUGAAGCGCAAGGACCAGAUUAAGGAUCCAGGUUCUAUCCCCCGGCUCCCCACCUGCAGAGGUUGCCUUGCAAGCAGUGAAGCAGGUCUGGAGGUAUCUUAUCUUUCCUCUUCUGUCUCCCCUCCUCUCUCUACUUCUCUCUGUCCUAUCCAACAACAACAAUAGCUAUAACAACAAUAACAACCACAACAAGGGCAACAAAAUGGGAAAAAAAAAAAGCCUCCAGGAGCAGUGGAUUCAUAGUGGUGGCACCAAGACCCAGUGAUAACCUUGGAAGGAAAAAAAAAGAGAGAAGUUACCAUUGUCCACUUGAAAACUGUCAUCAAAAAGGUGAAAUUCUAACUGCUGAAUAUAACAAAUCUCUGUUGAAAAUAACUGAGUAAAUACUGAGUAAAAUAUACUUCAGGGAACAGUGUAGGAAUGUAAAACCAGUUCAUGAGACAGUACUAAAAUAGCAAAAACAUGGACUUUUGUCACUUCCUCUAGUUGUUCCAGAUUAUAGCAGAGUUGCUCAUUUGCAAAGAGGACAUACCAUUUUUCUGCUGUUUUCCUUAGUUUUCUCAUUAGUAUGAAGGCAGCAUUAAAUUCUUGAAAUUCUUCUAAGUACCUCUACUACAAUACUAAUUUUUUUCUCCCUACAUGAACUCCAGGUUAAGGGAGGAGGGCAUCUCAGGAGAGUGAAAAUUAGUCUGACUAGAGAGGGCAUGGUCUUAUCCAAGUACUGAUCAAGUAGUGUUAUGAAAAUUCAUAAUGUAUAUUGAUACCAUCCCCACCAACAAAGGUCUGUGUCCCUCCCUUUUUAUGCCCCCAGUGAAGCUGAACAUUUACCCUCACCCUCCACCCAGAGUUUUUACUUUGGUGCUAUACUCCAAACUCAAUCAGAUUCUGCUUUGAGUUUCCCUUUCUCUUCUUCUUUCUCAACUUCUGUUUAUGAGUGGGAUCAUCCCAUACUUGUCUUUGUCUUUCUGACAACUCAAAAUGGGGGGAUACAACUCAAAAUGGGGAUAAAUGAUGCUUGUGUCAUAAUAUGCUUCUAUAAUUAAUCAGCAUGUCCUGGAUAAAUUUUGUCAUGUCAAUAAUGACUUCACUAAAUUUUGUAUCACCAUUUAACCAAUAUUCUGCUAUGUAUUGUACAUUUGGAGUAUCCAGAUAUUAAUAAGGCUUAUAGAAGU